The sequence is a small nucleolar RNA, 160 nucleotides long. It matches the Rfam family "Small nucleolar RNA snR4".
AACUAUAACAGUCGAUGAUGAAAGGCUUUUGAUACACAACUCGUCCUUAUAGUUAUCCUCGCAUAGCUGGGUUUAUUCUUGGCUUUGCCUGGGUCGUUGAGGAUUGCACUGUGGCCACUUCACCACCUUAAUAGCGGUGCUUAACUCAAUACCGAGGCUG